GCGACCGGCGCACGGGUGCGUAACACGUAUGCAAUCUACCUCUAACUGGGGAAUAGCCUUCCGAAAGGAAGAUUAAUACCGCAUAAUAUCACGAGACGGCAUCGCCUUGUGAUCAAAGCUUCGGCGGUUAGAGAUGAGCAUGCGUCCGAUUAGCUAGUUGGCGGGGUAACGGCCCACCAAGGCGACGAUCGGUAGGGGGUCUGAGAGGAUGAUCCCCCACACUGGUACUGAGACACGGACCAGACUCCUACGGGAGGCAGCAGUAAGGAAUAUUGGACAAUGGCCGAAAGGCUGAUCCAGCCAUGCCGCGUGCAGGAUGAAGGUGCUCUGCAUUGUAAACUGCUUUUAUUCGGGAAUAAACCCCUCUACGUGUAGAGGGCUGAAUGUACCGAAAGAAUAAGGGACGGCUAACUUCGUGCCAGCAGCCGCGGUAAUACGAAGGUCCCAAGCGUUAUCCGGAUUUAUUGGGUUUAAAGGGUGCGUAGGCGGGUUGUUAAGUCAGUGGUGAAAGCCGACAGCUUAACUGUCGAAUUGCCAUUGAUACUGACGAUCUUGAAUGUGGUUGAGGUGGGCGGAAUGUAUCAUGUAGCGGUGAAAUGCUUAGAUAUGAUACAGAACACCGAUUGCGAAGGCAGCUCACUAAGCCACUAUUGACGCUGAGGCACGAAAGCGUGGGGAGCAAACAGGAUUAGAUACCCUGGUAGUCCACGCCCUAAACUAUGAUCACUCGAUGUUGGCGAUAUACUGUCAGCGUCUAAGCGAAAGCAUUAAGUGAUCCACCUGGGGAGUACGACCGCAAGGUUGAAACUCAAAGGAAUUGACGG
RNAcentral lists this ribosomal RNA (824 nucleotides) under uncultured bacterium. RNAcentral's name for it is "bacterial SSU rRNA". It matches the Rfam family "Bacterial small subunit ribosomal RNA", at positions 91 to 916 of the family's 1533-position model. The record is from RNAcentral.